RNAcentral lists this ribosomal RNA (497 nucleotides) under uncultured bacterium. RNAcentral describes it as "partial 16S ribosomal RNA". It matches the Rfam family "Bacterial small subunit ribosomal RNA", at positions 28 to 507 of the family's 1533-position model. The record is from RNAcentral.
GAUGAACGCUGGCGGCGUGCCUAAUACAUGCAAGUCGAGCGAACAGACGAGGAGCUUGCUCCUCUGAUGUUAGCGGCGGACGGGUGAGUAACACGUGGAUAACCUACCUAUAAGACUGGGAUAACUUCGGGAAACCGGAGCUAAUACCGGAUAACAUGUUGAACCGCAUGGUUCAACAGUGAAAGACGGUCUUGCUGUCACUUAUAGAUGGAUCCGCGCCGAAUUAGCUAGUUGGUAAGGUAACGGCUUACCAAGGCAACGAUGCGUAGCCGACCUGAGAGGGUGAUCGGCCACCCUGGAACUGAGACACGGUCCAGACUCCUACGGGAGGCAGCAGUAGGGAAUCUUCCGCAAAGGGCGAAAGCCUGACGGAGCAACGCCGCGUGAGUGAAGAAGGUCUUCGGAUCGUAAAACUCUGUUAUUAGGGAAGAACAAAUGUGUAAGUAACUAUGCACGUCUUGACGGUACCUAAUCAGAAAGCCACGGCUAACUACGUG